GCCACAGGGGAGAGGAACUUCUGCGAAGAAGGCUGGGCCUCCUUCUGUCCCUCCCUCCCUCGCCCUCCUUCCUGGUCCUUCGUUCCUUCCUGUGUUGCUGUUGUUGAUUAGGCACGCAGAAUGCAUUCGGACAACAGAGCUUUCUCAUCUCUCAGACGACGCUGCACCCCCACCCCCCGCAUCUACUAACAACCUCUUCCUGACCUAGCUCAGAUCGAAGUCUUCGCCACUCUGCGUUUGGCCAUUCAAUUCGCGCUCCCGCUGCGCUCAAAUUGGGGCAGCUGAUGUUUGGGCCCGUUUUGGUGCGGGUUGUCGCGGUUUAGGGCUCGGGCGCGUUCGGGAGCUCGGCGUGACGAGGGGAGGAGGUGGUGCCAUGCGGUUUUCGGAGGUGGCCUCGAGGCGGGCGUGUGGCGGUGUGGUUGGGAUGGUGCGAGUGAGGAGGACGUGAGCGGUGCGUGGGCCGAGAUGCGUGGGCGGAGCGACGCGUGGUUUGGUUGAGUGAGGGGCCGCGGAGGCGAUCGUCAGGCUUGGAUUGUGGUUGCAGCGGUUAUGGAGGAGAUUGGUGCGGUUGAGCCUCCGCGUACGGAUGCGCGAGGUUUAGCGGAGGAGAGGGAGAGGGAGAGGGAGGGGGAGCGUGAGGGGAGUGAGAGCGAGAGGGGCAGGGGCGUAGGUGUCAGAGAAGAAGCUGAUAAUCGGAGCCACGGGCAACUGCCGGACGGGGACCCUGACGACGAAGAGGACGUGUGUCGAAUCUGUAGGACGCCCGGGGACGAGGAGUCGUCUCUGUACCAUCCGUGUGCCUGUAGUGGCAGUAUCAAAUAUGUGCACCAGGAAUGUCUUCUGCAGUGGCUCAACCACAGUAAUGCGCGGCAGUGCGAGGUUUGCAAGCAUAUGUUUGCAUUUUCGCCCGUGUAUGCACCUGACGCACCUGCGAGGCUGCCCGUGCGGGAGCUGUUCCUGGGCAUGACAGUGAAGGCUCUGAAGGGGGCACGGUUCUUUAUUCGCCUGCUGUUUGUAGUCUGCGUGUGGCUUCUGCUGAUCCCGUUUGUAACUCUUUGGAUUUGGAGGGUUACGUUCGUGAGGAGUUUGGUGGAAGCGAAGCGACUGUUUUUCAGCCGGUGGACUUUUAGUCUGCUACUCACAGACUGCUUGCACGGGUUCCUACUGUCGGCUGGAAUCGUGUUUAUCUUCCUGGGCGUGACGUCAUUGAGGGAAUAUUUUCGGCACCUGCGAGAAAUAGCUGGAGGGCAGGAUGGCGACAGGGAGGAUGAAGCAGUGGACAGGGGCUUGGGAGGCCGAGCUGGCAGGCGCCUGGGCCAGGUGGUUGCCGGAGUGAGAGGUUUUGGAGGUGACGGGGGUCAGGCAAUCGGAGGCCCGCAUGGCAAUCACGAGAUGGUCGUUGUGCCUGCGCCUGCUCAGGGUCUCGCAGCUGGAGCCGGUCAGUUGCUGCGGCGGAACGCCGAGAACGUGGCUCUUCGGCUGGAGAUGCAAGCUGCACGGCUGGAGGCACAUGUGGAACAGAUGUUUGAUGCUGUCGAGGAUGCGGAUGGUGCCGAGGACGUGCCGUUCGACGAGCUCGUGGGAAUGCAAGGUCCCGUUUUUCACUUACUGGAGAACGCGGUUACAGUGCUGCUGAGCAAUGCAAUUUUUCUGGGAAUAGUUGCUCUGAUACCAUUCACUCUUGGUCGGAUCAUUAUUUCUGUUUUCUGGAAGAUACUGGUAGCUACGGGAAGUGCCAGAACCAUGACACGUUGGUCAGAGAUAUCCAUGGGCGUGUUCGGUGUGAAUGGCAGCUCCGCUGCCCGGGGUCUGGACAUCAGUUCUGCUGCUCUGUUGGUGGGGGAAGAGAGAGAGAACAACGGUAGCUUUUUCAAGUUACUUGCCGAGCAUAGUAUCUCAAGCGAGAGCGCAGCUUCGGUUGCGAUACCCGUGAAUGCGGUGAAAGAAGCUGUGGUUCAGGUGUCGGCGUUCAGGUUUUCAGAUGCGACAACAGUGGCUGUUGGCUACGCGGCAAUAUUUUCAGCUGUAGUGUUCUACCUGGGACUCAUCGUCCUGAUAAGAUAUAGUCGAGGGGAACCUAUGACUGUUGGAAGAAUCCGCGGGGUUGCUUCUAUGGCGGAAGCUGCGCCGUCAGUAGCGCGGCAAGUGAUAGCCGGGGUGAGCUACAUGGCUACAGGGGUGAAGGUGGCGUUCCUGCUGUUCAUCGAGCUUGGAGUAUUUCCACUGCUGUGUGGAUGGUGGUUGGAUGUAUGUACUUUAGGCAUCCGUGACGUUACAUUGACGCAGGCUGUAUCAUUUCUCUCGUCCUCCCCUUCGAUGAGCUCUUUUCUGCAUUGGCUGGUGGGGAUCGUGUACAUGUUGCAGAUCAGCAUAUUCGUGAGUCUGUUGCGAGAGGUGUUGAAACCAGGGGUUUUGUAUUUCCUGCGGGAUCCGGCGGAUCCAAACUACAACCCAUUCCGGGAUCUGAUCGAUGAUCCCUUGCACAAGCAUGCACGCCGUGUGCUUCUUUCUGUGGUGGUGUACGGCAGCCUGGAUUGUGAUGCUGGUGUUUUUGCCAGUCAGACUGGCGAUUUCGAUUGCCCCUCGUAUGUUUCCACUAGACAUAAGGGUAUCCGAUCCGUUCACGGAGAUCCCAGCAGACAUGUUGCUAUUUCAUAUUUGUAUACCAUUCGCUGUGGAGCACUUCAGACCGCGUGCAACCAUCAAGAGCGUCUUGUUCCAUUGGUUCUCGACUGUCGGGUGGGCUUUGGGUCUGUCGGAGUUUCUACUCCCUGGAGCCGAGGAGGCAAAUGGAGUUGGUGGCAAUAAUGAGGAAGAGAGGGGGGUUGGAGGACAAGAGAGAGGCGACAACUUUGAUGGUAAUCACCCAAGAGGUGAACACGGUGAUGGUGCAGGAAAUCGUCACCAGAUUGGUACAGCGUCUGGUAUGGAUGCGGAGGACGAGGCUUCCGACAACGAGGGCGAACAUGACACGGAUGAGUACCGAUUUGCAUCGCGAAUGGUGCUUCUUUUACUAGGGGCAUGGUUAACUCUUCUAGCAUUCAAUUCGGCCAUGGUGCUGCUUCCCAUUUCCAUUGGGCGAAUCAUAAUCACUUCGUUCUCUCGUCUUCCUAUUACGCGUGGUGCUAAAUGCAACGACUUGUACGCAUUCAAUAUUGGGUGUUACGUGCUUUGGGCCACCGCUGCAGCAAUACAGUAUGUGGUGGAUUACCUGCGGACCCACGACAUUCGGGUGUUUUUGCGACAGGUUGUGAAGUGGUCAUCCAUCGUGGCCAAAAGCUUUGUGCUUCUCUCCCUCUGGGUUGUGGUAAUUCCCGUGCUUAUUGGGCUUCUCUUCGAGCUGCUGGUUGUGGUUCCCUUGCGAGUGCCUAUUGAUGAGAGCCCAGUGUUUCUCCUGUACCAAGACUGGGCGUUGGGAUUGGUGUUUCUGAAGAUCUGGACAAGGCUGGUGACGUUUGGACAGAUCGUGCCCCUGGUGGAUGACAGCUGGCGAGUGAAGUUCGAGCAAGUUCGGACCGAUGGGUUUUCCCAUUUAAGAGGUUGGUGGGUGUUCACAGCAAUCGUGGGCCCGGUUCUUAUCCAGCUGUUGACAGCUCUGUGCGUGCCGUAUGUGUUUGGGCGGGGAGUGUUCCCUCUGUUCGGGUGUUCAAUGAAGGUGAAUUCGGCAGUGUAUCGCUAUGCUUGGUUGGGUUGCCUAUUGUUGGGAAUCGUCUGGUACGGUGGACAGCGACUGCAUCGAUGGGUAUUGGAUCUUCACGAUGCCAUCCGCGACGAUCGCUACCUUGUGGGACGGCGACUGCACAAUUACGGGGAGCAGAAGAAAGCUGCAGCUGAUCCGGAGUUAUUGAGACUGGCGUCGUCAGGGUUGGCAGAAGCUGAAGACGCUGCAGUCGUGCAAGCAGGUGAAGCAGCGUCACAGGCAGGGGAGCGGGAAGGCAGUGGGGAGGAAUUGGAAGCAGCAGCUGGCUGCGCGGGCGGGAUUGCGAGCGAUUCAGACAGGAUGAUGGACCCUGCAGUGAUGGGGGCUCACAGGAUGGAGGCGAGCGCGAGCACACUAAAAUUCCGGGGUGCUGUCAGCCAUGAAAGCACCAGGAGCUAAGACAUUACUCAGUCUUGCAUUGUGGUGGACGAACCACAUAAUGCGGACUUCGAGUUGCACUUAUGUAUAAAUGUAGGUAGGCACGCAGGUUUGUUGAGCAAUGUACGUGCCUGUGUGUGGCUGCGUAUUUCGUCGGUCGGACGAUGGGCCUGUUGCGAUGCAGCGGAUCACCUGGACCGAUUGCUACAACUGACCAAGUCUCGCCACGGUCUGCAUUGCGCGCGCUGUGGCGUGGUGGUAGAACUUUUCAUGACAUGGAGAUUUCGUAUAGAGAGGGAGGUGACAUGGAACGUUUGUAGGUAGAGUAGCUCCUGUUAAAUUCAACCCCAUUUUUUUGUACCAUCACUGUGGACAGUUUCUCACGAGUAAGCCUUGUGGUAUAAAGAUGUCUAUAUUUCAUGA
This is a non-coding RNA of Physcomitrium patens, 4501 nucleotides long. The record is from RefSeq and is a predicted model, not a curated record. NCBI's taxonomy places the organism in Eukaryota, Viridiplantae, Streptophyta, Bryopsida, Funariales, Funariaceae.